GGUAAUCAAUGUCUAUGACCGGAGGAUUCAGUUCCACAUGGCGGCCGUCGACGGUUUCGCGCUGGAUUCCUCCUUUCUCUAGCUUCCAGCGGCGGUUGUUGUUCCUCCGGUGGGGAUUCUGGUUCUUCCGGUUCGGCAUCUGGUUGUCGGACUUGGGACGAUGAUCCACCUUCAAAGAAUAGUGUAUGUGGAGGUGUUUGCAUAAUGAACGGCGACGGAGUUUGAAAGCCAUGCGUUGCUGGCGAUUGGUAAAAAGGAGAGCUCUCCG
Molecule: long non-coding RNA, 268 nt
Filed under: Gossypium barbadense (sea-island cotton)
Lineage: Eukaryota; Viridiplantae; Streptophyta; Magnoliopsida; Malvales; Malvaceae
Description: long non-coding RNA (GBAR_LNC015373)
Source: RNAcentral